This 247-nucleotide ribosomal RNA is filed under the name uncultured eukaryote. Its description in RNAcentral is "partial Eukaryotic large subunit ribosomal RNA". It matches the Rfam family "Eukaryotic large subunit ribosomal RNA", at positions 3106 to 3348 of the family's 3401-position model. The record is from RNAcentral.
GUGUCGGAUUAUGACUGAACGCCUCUAAGUCAGAAUCCACGCUAGAAGCGGUGCAUGUCACUCUUCGACUGUAUCUCGACCCGCAGUAGGGGCGUCGCUUUGUCGCCCCCAGGGGCCCGUGUCAUUUGCAAACCGCGACCGUGAAGCAUCUCGGUCGGGGCAGCUUUGAAGUUCAAUUCCAAACGGUCGUUGAGAAGAAUCCUUUGCAGACGACUUAAAUACGCGACGGGGUAUUGUAAGUGGCAGA